UAAUGCUUUGAUAUAGGCCUCGAUCGGU
RNAcentral lists this non-coding RNA (28 nucleotides) under Bombyx mori (domestic silkworm). Lineage: Eukaryota; Metazoa; Arthropoda; Insecta; Lepidoptera; Bombycidae. The record is from RNAcentral.